AUUGAACGCUGGCGGCAGGCCUAACACAUGCAAGUCGAGCGGAGCGGCGGACGGGUGAGUAACGUCUGGGAAACUGCCUGAUGGAGGGGGAUAACGAUUGGAAACGGGCGCUAAUACCGCAUACUACCAGAUGAGCCUAGGUCGGAUUAGCUGUUUGGUGGGGUAAAGGCCUACCAAGGCGACGAUCCGUAACUGGUCUGAGAGGAUGAUCAGUCACACUGGAACUGAGACACGGUCCAGACUCCUACGGGAGGCAGCAGUGGGGAAUAUUGGACAAUGGGCGAAAUCCUGAUCCAGCCAUGCCGCGUGUGUGAAGAAGGUCUUCGGAUUGUAAAGCACUUUAAGUUGGGAGGCGUUACCCGCAGAAGAAGCACCGGCUAACUCCGUGCCAGCAGCCGCGGUAAUUC
This 407-nucleotide ribosomal RNA is filed under the name uncultured bacterium. RNAcentral describes it as "partial 16S ribosomal RNA". It matches the Rfam family "Bacterial small subunit ribosomal RNA", at positions 30 to 526 of the family's 1533-position model. The record is from RNAcentral.